This 245-nucleotide ribosomal RNA is filed under the name uncultured bacterium. RNAcentral's name for it is "partial 16S ribosomal RNA". It matches the Rfam family "Bacterial small subunit ribosomal RNA", at positions 524 to 768 of the family's 1533-position model. The record is from RNAcentral.
UACGUAGGUGGCGAGCGUUAUCCGGAUUUACUGGGCGUAAAGAGAGCGUAGGCGGUCUUUCAAGUUGGAUGUAAAAUCUCCCGGCUUAACUGGGAGGGAUCGUCCAAUACUGUUAGGCUAGAGGGCAACAGAGGAAGAUGGAAUUCCCGGUGUAGUGGUGAAAUGCGUAGAUAUCGGGAGGAACACCAGUGGCGAAGGCGGUCUUCUGGGUUGUACCUGACGCUCAGGCUCGAAAGCGUGGGGAG